AUGCUAGACAAUACAAUAAACAAAGUAGCAGAAGUUCUUUCUACAGAGGAAAUGGAAGAAUGGCAGCCUAAAAAGUUCAGUACAAUGGACAAGACUUGAGCAGGAAGAUGUUGCAUAGAGGAAUUCGAUAGCAUGCAGGAACAUAUUGAGCAAGAAAAUUUUGUGCAAGAGGAUAUUUCUUAUAGGGAGGAAUUAAAUAGUCUAGUGAAAGUUUAUCUUGCCAGUGUAUGGGACCAUCAGAUUGGCAAAAAGUGAGCGAGCCUUCUUUCAUUUUUCCAAGAAUCAGGCUGUUCUUAGCGUUUUAAUUUUUUUUUCAUGUCAAAGAAAUAUGGUUAUAUGUAGCCUUCAAUUCAAUUUCUGCUUUUUGACAAGUAAAUAUUCCAGUAGGAACUGCAAUUUAUAUAGAAAAUUUUGAGCUUUGAAGGAAGGUCGAUUAACUUUAAAUCUGAUAAUAGCAGACCAGUACAAUUCAUAGAUUCUGUGUAUUACAAAGAAGCUGCGUUUCCCAAGUGCAAAAGACUAUUCUUUGUGAACAGGUAGCGUAUAUUAUAAACUGAUAUAAAUAUAGAGAGGCUUUGUCCGUGGAUUGUGAGGAAUUCUCAUUGCUUAUUUGGCCCUAGCUUCUAGAAUUUACGAGAAAAUAAACGGUGGCAGCGUUAUAUAACGGGAUGCUGGAUGACUCCACUAUGCUUACGGCUCCUGUUUUCUUUCCUUUGAGUAAUUUCAUUGCCGAAUCAGGGGACAAAAGAUUAUUCCCCACUGAGUCCCACCUUCACCCCUCUGUUCCAUAUGUAUCUUCUUCCAAAUAAACGAUUGCAGUUCCUAAGAUCACAUUCUGCAGCGGCAGGUGAAGCGUCCGUAUCUACGGUCUUUUUCUGGUUAUUCCGUGAUUUCUCUUUUUUCCAUAGAAAUUGUGCAUAAACAUGAUCUUAUCUGCGCACGCGAUUAGAUCUGCAUUCGAUACAUGUCCACAGGAAACAGUGUCUGCGAGAACGAAAGGAAGGACUUUAAUGAAUUGCCUGAUUAAAAUUCCAAAUCCACCGCAGAUUCUUCAGAUUCUACUGGUCUGCUGCAGUCCGUAUCUAUUAAUGGUUAUUUGACUUUCCUCCAAAUUUCAAAACCAACGAAACGUUUGGUAAAUUAGGGUGAAUGAAUAUAUAAAUUUUCUUACCAAUGUUCGGGUUGCGUGACUGCAGGCAGCCCAGUCCGCGCGCGGUCAAGUUUUGCGCCAUUAUGGUUGCGUGACCAUUAUACUUUUAUUUAUUAGCGCGGUCGUAAAGUUUAGCAUGC
This is a long non-coding RNA of Stylophora pistillata, 1290 nucleotides long. Lineage: Eukaryota; Metazoa; Cnidaria; Anthozoa; Scleractinia; Pocilloporidae. The record is from RefSeq and is a predicted model, not a curated record.